AAGCGUUAUCCGGAAUGAUUGGGCGUAAAGCGUCUGUAGGUGGCUUCCCAAGUCAACUGUCAAAAAUCAGGGCUUAACCUUGAGCCGGCAGUUGAAACUAUGAAGCUUGAGUUAGGUAGGGGCAGAGGGAAUUCCUAGUGUAGCGGUGAAAAUGCGUAGAUAUUAGGAAGAACACCGAUCGCGAAAGCACUCUGCUGGGCCAUGACUGACACUGAGAGACGAAAGCUAAGGGAGCAAAUGGGAUUAGAUACCCCAGUAGUCUUAGCCGUAAACGAUGGAUACUAAGUUCUGGUCGAUUCAAAACCGUUCAGUUCUGUAGCUAACGCGUCAAGUAUCCCGCCUGGGGAGUAUGCUCGCAAGGGUGAAACUCAAAGGAAUUGACGGGGACCCGCACAAGCGGUGGAGCAUGUGGUUUAAUUCGAUGCAACGCGAAGAACCUUACCAGGGCUUGACAUAUUUCACAUUUCUUUGAAAAAAGAAAGUCCAAAUGAAAAUACAGGUGGUGCAUGGCU
Molecule: ribosomal RNA, 512 nt
Filed under: uncultured cyanobacterium
Lineage: Bacteria; Bacillati; Cyanobacteriota
Description: bacterial SSU rRNA
Rfam family: Bacterial small subunit ribosomal RNA
Source: RNAcentral